Molecule: unclassified non-coding RNA, 391 nt
Filed under: soil metagenome
Description: partial contains 5.8S ribosomal RNA, internal transcribed spacer 2, and large subunit ribosomal RNA
Rfam family: 5.8S ribosomal RNA (bases 1-122)
Source: RNAcentral
GAUGAAGAACGUAGCGAAAUGCGAUACUUGGUGUGAAUUGCAGAAUCCCGUGAACCAUCGAGUCUUUGAACGCAAGUUGCGCCCGAAGCCACUAGGCCGAGGGCACGCCUGCCUGGGCGUCACACGCCGUUGCCCCCCCAUCUACUCCUUCGGGAUUGCGGGGGGGCGGAUGAUGGCCUCCCGUGCGCCUAGCCGCGCGGUUGGCAUAAAUACCAAGUCCUCGGCGACGCACGCCACGACAAUCGGUGGUUGCGAAACCUCGGUUGCCCGUCGUGUGCGUUCGUCGCGCAUCGAGGGCUCGAAAAAAUGCUCGGCUCCGGCUGGGCUUUCAACGCGACCCCAGGUCAGGCGGGGUUACCCGCUGAAUUUAAGCAUAUCAGUAAGCGGAGGA